This 332-nucleotide long non-coding RNA is filed under the name Homo sapiens (human). Its description in RNAcentral is "HSALNT0184928". Lineage: Eukaryota; Metazoa; Chordata; Mammalia; Primates; Hominidae. The record is from RNAcentral.
AGACGAGGAAAAGUGAGAAGGUAACUUCAGAGGAGACAGCAGGGUUGAAUUGAACAGGAAAAGAUCAAAAGUACAGCCAGAAUCCCACUUGGUCUUUUUUCCAUUCUCCUUUAUUCCAUAAACACCUAGUUACAAGUUGCACAAAUCAAAAAAUAAAGGCAGAGAAGGGUGUAGGGAAGAUUCUUUUGAUGUGUGUGGGCAGGAGGAGGGAGAGAGUUAGGAACCAGUCUGCUCCUUCCACAGCCCUAGAUAGGGCUACGGCCCCUCAGUGGGGGCUCUGAGGAAGAGGAGUAGGAUGGGAAAGGUGAGGGGGUUUGAAGAUGGAGUGGCAG